This 767-nucleotide long non-coding RNA is filed under the name Salmo salar (Atlantic salmon). Its description in RNAcentral is "lncRNA (ENSSSAG00000111042.1)". Lineage: Eukaryota; Metazoa; Chordata; Actinopteri; Salmoniformes; Salmonidae. The record is from RNAcentral.
GUGAGGACUGGUGUCCAUACGUUUAACAGGGCUAAUUUCAACUACAAACUAACAAAAUUAACAUUUAGUUCCAGAAAUGUUAGGACUGCUGGCCUAACGUUUAAAAGUGCGAAUUUCAACUUUGAGGUGAAUUUCGUCUAGACCAGCCAGAAUACAACGCGAGUUGAUUAUAGCAACUUGGUAUGAACUUUGAACUAUUAUACACUAAAGAAUAAGUGAUACCUCCUAGAUGUCGAGUUAUCAGCUGCAGCUGUAAACGUACGUCACCUAGGACGAGGACAAACAAUCUCUGAAGAACGACAGGGUGCUUUAACGUAUCCGCUCUACAGCACUACGACCAGAAAGAUUCUUCAAAGGACAAUGGUGAUGUCUGCUGGGUAAAGCCGUCUUCCAGCUCUCAUCCAUCUAUCAAGGCGCAGCUCAGAGAAACUGACUGGAAGCAGGCUUUAAAAAAAUAAAUCAUGGAAGAGGUUAAGGACCAGAUGAAGGCGCUCACAAGUGACAUCAUCCAGGAGCUGAAACCAUUUCAAAGAGCUGACCCCACUGUGGCCGAAUGGAGGAAGCCAUCGUCCUACUCUAACAUAUGGGCUGAAGCAGCAUUUCCAGCUCUGUGAUCAGGCCUUUGAACUGGAUCCUGUUCUCCGGGUCAUUCUCCCAACACCUCCUCAGGGAGUAUACCUGCGCACACGCACGCACGCACGCACGCACACACACACAGAAAAGAAAGGGAGAGAGAUAUGUAUGAGUAUGUUGCACGUCACUAAUUC